UACCUGACUAGCUGAGAGGGGUGCAUGGCCGUCGUCAGUUCGUACUGUGAAGCAUCCUGUUAAGUCAGGCAACGAGCGAGACCCACGCCGACAGUUGCCAGCUCGUCCUCCGGGGAUGGUGGGGACACUGUUGGGACCGCCUCUGCUAAAGAGGAGGAAGGAAUGGGCAACGGUAGGUCAGCAUGCCCCGAAUUAUCUGGGCUACACGCGGGCUACAAUGGGUGGGACAAUGGGUAUCGACACCGAAAGGUGAAGGCAAUCUCCUAAACCCAUCCGUAGUUCGGAUUGUGGGCUGCAACUCGCCCACAUGAAGCUGGAAUCUGUAGUAAUCGUGUCUCAAAAUGGCACGGUGAAUAUGUCCCUGCUCCUU
Molecule: ribosomal RNA, 370 nt
Filed under: uncultured Methanomicrobiales archaeon
Lineage: Archaea; Methanobacteriati; Methanobacteriota; Methanomicrobia; Methanomicrobiales
Description: bacterial SSU rRNA
Rfam family: Archaeal small subunit ribosomal RNA
Source: RNAcentral